GAUAUGGCACAUUGGGGGAAACCCUGAUGCAGCGACGCCGCGUGAUCGAAGAAGGCCUUCGGGUCGAAAAGCGCUGUUUCGAGGGAAGAUACUGACGGUACCUCGGGAGGAAGCCCCGGCUAACUACGUGCAAGCAGCCGCGGUAAUACGUAGGGGGCAAGCUUUAUCCGGAAUCACUGGGCGUAAAGGGUGCGUAGGCGGCCAAUAAAGCCAGAGGUGAAAGGCUACGGCUCAACCGUAGUAAGCCUUUGAAACUUAUUGGCUUGAGUGAAGGAGAGGAGAGUGGAAUUCCUAGUGUAGCGGUGAAAUGCGUAGAUAUUAGGAGGAACACCAGUGGCGAAGGCAACUCUCUGGACUGUAACUGACGCUGAGGCACGAAAGCGUGGGGGGCGAAC
RNAcentral lists this ribosomal RNA (395 nucleotides) under uncultured bacterium. RNAcentral's name for it is "partial 16S ribosomal RNA". It matches the Rfam family "Bacterial small subunit ribosomal RNA", at positions 359 to 773 of the family's 1533-position model. The record is from RNAcentral.